Molecule: ribosomal RNA, 234 nt
Filed under: uncultured bacterium
Lineage: Bacteria
Description: partial 16S ribosomal RNA
Rfam family: Bacterial small subunit ribosomal RNA
Source: RNAcentral
UGGCGGACGGGUGAGUAAUGUCUGGGAAACUGCCUGAUGGAGGGGGAUAACUACUGGAAACGGUAGCUAAUACCGCAUAACGUCGCAAGACCAAAGAGGGGGACUUCGGGCCUCUUGCCAUCGGAUGUGCCCAGAUGGGAUUAGCUAGUAGGUGGGGUAACGGCUCACCUAGGCGACGAUCCCUAGCUGGUCUGAGAGGAUGACCAGCCACACUGGAACUGAGACACGGUCCAG